This 574-nucleotide long non-coding RNA is filed under the name Dromaius novaehollandiae (emu). RNAcentral's name for it is "lncRNA (ENSDNVG00000015358.1)". Lineage: Eukaryota; Metazoa; Chordata; Aves; Casuariiformes; Dromaiidae. The record is from RNAcentral.
CAACAGCUUCCAGUCAGCUCAGAGUAUAAGCAGGGCAAAUGGAUMUUUGCCUGCAAAAUACCAUGUAGACAAUCUAUCUGAGCCUUUAGAAGUAGAAUUUGUAGUAUUGGGAUGCCCUGGUACAUUGUAGCCCAUGCACUUCAGUUGCCUAUCGUCUUACACUGCUGUUGUCCUGUCUCUAGAACCAAGAUCUUGCAAAUCCAGAAGUCAAAAGCCUGCCUUCCUCUUUGCCGUUAUCCAUGAAUGAUGUAGCUAUGACCAGCCACCUGGAAAGGCAAAACAUCCAGAAGAAUAAAAAUAUGGAAAAGACUGAGGAAAAUCCACUGUUGUCAGAUACAGAUGAAGACAUCAAAGAGGAAGAAGACGACUAUUACAAAACUCCAAGCAGUCUUUUAACAAAGUGUAAUACUGAAAUAUCAAAGCCUGACCCUACAGCUGAGUCUAAUGUCCCUGUGCAAGAGAAGCCAGUGCAGAAGAACACAGUAAAGGAGAACAUUUAUAUGUCAAUGAAAUCACUGUAAGUAACAACUUUAUUAAGGUUUUGAAAAUUAAAAGUGAUACAGUGAUAUAGGAA